AUGGUCCUCCACAUCCCCAGAGUCCCACCAUGAAUGAAUUUCUCACUCAUUAUUCUCUGAUCUACAGGGUGAACCUGGCAGCCCUGGUGAAAAUGGAGCUCCUGGUCAGAUGGUGAGUGUGCCCAGUUCCAGAGGGCAGGGAUGGGGCAGGAGGCAGGGGCAAGAUGGAGGCCUGGGGGAACAAGGCUGUCUCCCAUCUCAUCUGACUUCUCUUGGUUUGGUUGUCAGGGCCCCCGUGGUCUGCCUGGUGAGAGAGGUCGCCCUGGAGCCCCUGGCCCUGCUGGUGCUCGUGGAAAUGAUGGUGCUACUGGUGCUGCCGGGCCCCCUGUGAGUGUGGCCUGUAGGCCUCAGGGCCUGGGAGUGGGGAGGGGUCUCAGUGUCUGCUCUUGGGGCUGACAAUGGG
Molecule: small RNA, 403 nt
Filed under: Pan troglodytes (chimpanzee)
Lineage: Eukaryota; Metazoa; Chordata; Mammalia; Primates; Hominidae
Description: retained intron
Source: RNAcentral